CUCAUUGGUGACCUCUCAAAGCCCCUCAUCCCUCCUCAGCACCUGUCCCUCUUAGCUGGGGGGACAGUGUCUACCCUGAUAGCCCAGUGUCCAGGAAGUGUGGCCCUCUCGAGGGGACAAGCUUUCCGUGGGGUCUGGGCCCAAAGCCCCUUCCUCUACCUCCCUGGGAGGUCUGAAGCUGGGCUCCAAGGCAGAGACCCUGAGGUUGGGCCCCAGGGACGUGGAGGUGUGUGGCCUCAGCUGCUCAUCUGAACAAAUGCCUUUUGUAUCAAUCAUUUAGCACCUCUAAUUUCUAGGCUUUUCUAGCAAGAGUCUUUUAGGAGACACAGGCCACGAUACUGUCAACAUAGGAAAAUGUGCAACUCCUGCGUCCCACCGUAAAACUCGAAGACGUCAAAAUACAUUCUUGAUUCUGCUCCACAAAGGGAUGUUUCCAUGGCGAUAUUUUCAAACAACAGAAAGUUCACGGCCGAUGGCGGUUACAGCUCAUGGAACUGAUGGGCAGGGCCGGGUGCAGCUUUGUAGCACGGCUGCUGCUCACAGAUUCUCUUCCAUUUGACUAAAAACCAUGCUGUCCACACCAAACAUCUGGCCUCAUCCGGAUGUUCAAAGCCAUGAAAUACAGCACUUCUGGCCAAGAAGUCUAAAUCACAGCCGAUCUACACGAGGCGGAUGGUCCACAACGCCAAGUUCCUACCCGGGCACUGAGCUCAACGCUCGCACAACUCCAAACGAGGGCGCAACCAUAUUCCCACUGACAUCCUCCUUGGGGCAGCAAGACAAGCUCCGAACAGCCUGUCCUGGGCCAACAAGAGAAGCUGGCGGGCGCCCGCUGAGCACUGUGAGCCAUCUUGUGGUGAGACUGGCUUCUCCUUCCAAUCUCCAGGUUUCUCUCUCUUUCUGCCUUCUUUCUGUCAGUUACCGUCAUUGAUCACUUAAAGAAAGACAGGGCCUACCCCUGUCUGCUGCGUGACCUCAGCCCUCCCGCCUGCCGAUGGGAGCUGGGUCAUCUCUUACGCCUUUCAGCUUUGGCUUCUUCCGCAGUGUAUGUGAAGGGGUCACACAGAGCAUCCAGCGGUCACCAUGGUGAACAAGAAGCCAGGAAGGAAGGAAGCAAUGUCGGCAAAAGGGCUCAGAUGACAACCAAACAGAACGGUUUCCCACCCUGGGCCUCCUUUCCACACACACAGCAUCGUGGGUAUUUUAAAA
This is a long non-coding RNA of Homo sapiens (human), 1209 nucleotides long. The record is from Ensembl. NCBI's taxonomy places the organism in Eukaryota, Metazoa, Chordata, Mammalia, Primates, Hominidae.